UUGGGAGCAAGCCGCCUGCCGAGUCUACCUUUAGUCCUGAAGUCCUGGGAGGGAGCUUGCAUUUCUGUCCCGACUCUGACCAAGCUGGUCUGCAGCGCGGACUGGGCUUGUGCCUGCUGCAGCCACGUGGCGAGAGGAGUGGCCAGGGUCUGCCCCUGGACCUCUCCCUGAUGGCCCCCAGCAAACUUCAUCUGUCAGCCUGAGGGGUGGGGGCGUAGAGGGUUGUGCACCCUUCUCCACACACCAGUGUUAAAGCCUGGGAUGGAGGAGUCCAGGUGGUGGGAGGCCGCCUGUCUGAGGAGGUAACAGCUGCCGAGGAACUGGCCCUGAGCCCUGAAUACACAGCUCUGUGUGCGAGCAAGAUGGAGCCUGACCUGUCUGGUUUUAACAUCGAUGCCCCCCGUUGGGACCAGUCCACUUUCCUGGGGCGGGUGAAGCACUUCUUCAACAUCACGGACCCUCGCACUGUUCUGAUACCAGAGCGGGAGCUGGAUUGGGCCAAGAUGAUGGUGGAGAAAAGCAGGAUGGGGGUCGUGCCCCCAGGGACUCAAGUGGAGCAGCUGCUGUAUGCCAAAAAGCUCUAUGACUCUGCCUUCCACCCUGACACCGGGGACAAGAUGAAUGUCAUUGGACGGAUGUCCUUCCAGGUUCCCGGCGGCAUGAUCAUCACAGGCUUCAUGCUCCAGUUCUACAGGACGAUGCCAGCGAUCAUCUUCUGGCAAUGGGUGAACCAGUCCUUCAAUGCCUUAGUCAACUACACCAACAGGAAUGCGGCUUCCCCCACAUCAGUCAGGCAGAUGGCCCUUUCCUACCUCACAGCCACAACUACUGCGGUGACCACUGCUGUGAGCAUGAACAUGUUGACAAAGAAAGCUCCCCCCUUGGUGGCCCGCUGGGUGCCCUUUGCUGCUGUAGCUGCUGCUAACUGUGUCAAUAUCCCAAUGAUGCGACAGCAGGAACUCAUCCAAGGCAUCUCCGUGAAGGACAAAAAUCACAAUGAGCUUGGUCAUUCUCGGAGAGCUGCGGCCAUAGGCAUCACCCAAGUGGUUAUUUCUCGGAUCACCAUGGCAGCCCCUGGCAUGAUUUUAUUGCCCAUUGUCAUGGAAAGGCUGGAGAAACUGCCCUUCAUGCAGAAAGUCAAGGUCCUGCAUGCGCCGUUGCAGGUUAUGCUGUGUGGGUGCUUCCUCAUCUUCAUGGUGCCAGUGGCAUGUGGGCUCUUCCCACAGAUAUGGUAUCAGCUAUUCCUUCCUUCCUUUGUUUUACCAAAUGUCCCGCCCCUACUCUCCCUGCCCUGCUUGCUGUCCGGAAGGAGAGAGGGAGGGGAAAGAAGGGCAGCAUUUGUCCAGGGACAAGUGCCUGUCAGCCUAAACUCGGGGCCUCUUAACCCUGCAUGAAUGGUAAGCCAGAACACGUCUCCGAAGGGAUGAACUGCGUUCAGUGCAGCAAGGGCUGCCUUGGAGAGAAAGCGGGGGAACAACAAGAGACUCUGUCCUGCUGUUUGGGUUAUUAGAUAAAUCUCCCCUGGCUGGACCCAGGUCCUUAUUCUGGCUCUUAUUUGCCAGAGGGUGGAUGAAUUGAACCUCUUCAUCCACCAUGUCAUGGAAGGGCAGCAUCAGGUGGGUGGGAGGACGGACUCGUUCCAGGAGACCAGGUAGGAAUACAGACCUGGAAUAUAUUCCGAGGAGAUGCCACUCUCCCCUUCCUUAGUGCUCUUAGCUCAGUGGUCAUCUGUUAGAUGUCUCCUGUGUUCCGAGCACUGUGCCUGUAAUCUUGUGGAGAAGGUGGAAGUUGAGCACCAGGGAGAAGGAAGACAGGCCUGAGUAGAGUGAACUGCCAGUUUCCUACCUGGAACAGGAGCUCCAAGACGCCAUCAAGGCCAAGUAUGGAGAACUUGUACCUUCUGUCUACUUCAA
Molecule: RNA transcript, 1913 nt
Organism: Myotis davidii
Lineage: Eukaryota; Metazoa; Chordata; Mammalia; Chiroptera; Vespertilionidae
Gene: SFXN2
Gene name: sideroflexin 2
Exons: 12
Source: RefSeq, a predicted model, not a curated record